GACGAACGCUGGCGGCGUGCUUAACACAUGCAAGUCGAACGGAAAGGCCCUGCUUUUGUGGGGUGCUCGAGUGGCGAACGGGUGAGUAACACGCGAGUAACCUGCCCUUGACUUUGGGAUAACUUCAGGAAACUGGGGCUAAUACCGGAUAGGAGCUCCUGCUGCAUGGUGGGGGUUGGAAAGUUUCGGCGGUUGGGGAUGGACUCGCGGCUUAUCAGCUUGUUGGUGGGGUAGUGGCUUACCAAGGCUUUGACGGGUAGCCGGCCUGAGAGGGUGACCGGCCACAUUGGGACUGAGAUACGGCCCAGACUCCUACGGGAGGCAGCAGUGGGGAAUAUUGCACAAUGGGCGGAAGCCUGAUGCAGCAACGCCGCGUGCGGGAUGACGGCCUUCGGGUUGUAAACCGCUUUCGCCUGUGACGAAGCGUGAGUGACGGUAAUGGGUAAAGAAGCACCGGCUAACUACGUGCCAGCAGCCGCGGUGAUACGUAGGGUGCGAGCGUUGUCCGGAUUUAUUGGGCGUAAAGGGCUCGUAGGUGGUUGAUCGCGUCGGAAGUGUAAUCUUGGGGCUUAACCCUGAGCGUGCUUUCGAUACGGGUUGACUUGAGGAAGGUAGGGGAGAAUGGAAUUCCUGGUGGAGCGGUGGAAUGCGCAGAUAUCAGGAGGAACACCAGUGGCGAAGGCGGUUCUCUGGGCCUUUCCUGACGCUGAGGAGCGAAAGCGUGGGGAGCGAACAGGCUUAGAUACCCUGGUAGUCCACGCUGUAAACGGUGGGUACUAGGUGUGGGGUCCAUUCCACGGGUUCCGUGCCGUAGCUAACGCUUUAAGUACCCCGCCUGGGGAGUACGGCCGCAAGGCUAAAACUCAAAGGAAUUGGCGGGGCCCCGCACAAGCGGCGGAGCAUGCGGAUUAAUUCGAUGCAACGCGUAGAACCUUACCUGGGUUUGACAUGGAUCGGGAGUGCUCAGAGAUGGGUGUGCCUCUUUUGGGGUCGGUUCACAGGUGGUGCAUGGCUGUCGUCAGCUCGUGUCGUGAGAUGUUGGGUUAAGUCCCGCAACGAGCGCAACCCUUGUUCACUGUUGCCAGCACGUUAUGGUGGGGACUCAGUGGAGACCGCCGGGGUCAACUCGGAGGAAGGUGGGGAUGACGUCAAGUCAUCAUGCCCCUUAUGUCCAGGGCUUCACGCAUGCUACAAUGGCUGGUACAGAGAGUGGCGAGCCUGUGAGGGUGAGCGAAUCUCGGAAAGCCGGUCUCAGUUCGGAUUGGGGUCUGCAACUCGACCUCAUGAAGUCGGAGUCGCUAGUAAUCGCAGAUCAGCAACGCUGCGGUGAAUACGUUCCCGGGGCU
RNAcentral lists this ribosomal RNA (1346 nucleotides) under uncultured bacterium. RNAcentral's name for it is "partial 16S ribosomal RNA". It matches the Rfam family "Bacterial small subunit ribosomal RNA", at positions 28 to 1381 of the family's 1533-position model. The record is from RNAcentral.